Molecule: RNA transcript, 3334 nt
Organism: Bactrocera latifrons
Lineage: Eukaryota; Metazoa; Arthropoda; Insecta; Diptera; Tephritidae
Gene name: basic salivary proline-rich protein 2
Exons: 4
Source: RefSeq, a predicted model, not a curated record
AUUGUUAAAUUAACAUAUCAAAUAUAAUCACACGCAAACUAUAAAGUGCAACACAAAUAUAUCUAUCCAAAUUUAUUUAAAGCCGAAAUAUUAAAAUUUUCUCAUAAAAAAGUUAAGUGACCAAGGUUUCAUAAAGAGGCAGUAAAAUGCAUCUCUAGGCAUGUCGGCGAAUUAACAGCGCAGUCAACGUCAACCGAAUUUGUAGUUAUCCCUAGCGUCAUUUGUUCGCGAAAAAUGUGGAAUUUAGUUUUUUAAUUGUAAAUUAAGUUUUGCCAAAGUUAUGUAAAUUUGUUUUUGUAUUUUGUCCGCUACAUAGUAUAUUUGUCCUUAGACAUAUAUGAAUUAAUAUAAAAAGUGUUAAGUGAUAAGAUAUAAACUCCGAGGUUUAGAGAGUGAAAAAAUUGUAUAAGUUUUGAGGCCACUUUGAAAGGCAACCCAUUUAUUUUUUCUUCCCCCGUUAAAUAAUAACCGCUAAAAUUGUGGAAAAACAGGAGAAAACUCCAAAGCGGAAGAAGAAGGCUGCAGCCAGUAAAAUGUCUGCAGUUUAUUCGCCGCAACAACCGCAGCAGUCUGCUCCCCCAGGUGCUGUACUGCAACCGCCUCAGCCACCAACGCCGACGUCGAUGCAGCAACAACAACAGCAGCAGCAACCACCGGGUGUUGGUGCCGGCGUGGGUGGAGUGGGGAUGGGUGGUCCAACAGGAGUGCCAAUGGGCUCCGGGGGUCCAAUCCAACGCGGUCCUUCCAUGGUUGGCAGUGGUGGCGGACCCGUCGGUCCUCCAUCUUCAGUUGGAAGUGGUGCUAUGAUGGGCGGUGUUGCGCCUCCGCCAUCAACCCAACGCGGUGGUAUGCCACCAUCACCCAGUCCAGCACAAAUACAAAAAAUACUUGACGAUAAUUGUGGUCUUAUUCAAACAAUUCAAGACUUUCAAACGAUGGGCAAAGCCCAGGAGUGCAUGACAUAUCAUAUGGCACUACACAGAAAUCUCGUUUAUUUAGCACAACUAGCUGAUCCAACAAUGAACAUAGCUCAGAUAUUGCCGCAUCCACAUGUUCUUCAACAACAGGCAGCCCAACAACAAGGUCCACAUGGUAUGAUGGGGGCUCCACAGCCUCCACAACAAGGUGGACCCCCGACUGGGGCAAAUCAACCACAAAUAGCCGGUAUGCCACCAAUGUCCCAUACGGAUGGAAAUGUACAACCUCCUUCGGGGGCUCAAAUGUCGUAUGGAGGUCAACCUCCACAAUCGCAUCCAGGAAUGACGCCAAACUCUCAAUCUCAACAAGGUCCUCCUCAACAAGCUAUUCAUUCCCAACAAACUGGCCAACAACAACCCCAACAACAAGGCGGUGCUUAUCGUGUUGGUACUUCGCCUCAAUCAGCCAAUCAACAACCACCAACUGUGUCAAAUGCAGGAUCGAAUCAACAGCGCCCAAGUGUUCAGUCAGGACAGCAGUCGGUUCAAGGGCCACAACAACAGGCCCCCAAUUCCCAACAAGGUCCGCCUCCUCAACCACAAUAUCGUGGCAAUUAUCAACAACAACACAGUCAUUACCCUGGCUAUCCACCCCAAAGCCAACCAUCAUACCAACCUCAAACCGGUUAUCCAUAUGGUCCACCCACUCAAGGCUACGGACCACCUCCUCCAAAUACACAGGGAGGCUAUCACCAUGCGGGUAUGCCACCGACAUCAUCAGCAGGUGGCGGCCCACCAGGUCAGCAUGGGUAUGCUAAUGCCAGUGGUCAGCAAGGACCUCCGGGCGCUUAUGCCCCACCUCCGCCGAAUCAGCAAGUUGCACCGGGCCAGCAACCGCCUCCUUCACAAAUGUAUGGUCCGCCUACAACUGGACAAGGACCACCACCACCGCCAAAUCAAUAUGGACCACCGCAAGGUGGUAACAACGCUCCUCCACCGAUGGCAUACGGUGGUUACGGUGGCCCACCACCAAGUGGUUAUGGUCAAGCGUCCAAUGCAUUGCCCAGCGGUUAUGGUCCACCUCCUCAAAAUCCAACACAAUCGCCCUACCCUCCACAAUCACCAUACCAGCAAGGUGGAGCGCCUGGUGGCUAUCCGGGUCAGUCACCGCAACAGCAACAAACAUCACAGGGCACUAGCGGUGGCUAUAGUUCCUCGCCAAGUCCAGGUCAAACACCGCCACCGCCAUCAAACCAACAAACUCCAAACUCGGCUAACCCAAAUGGCCCAAAUGCUCCACCAGCAAGUGUGCAAUCCACUUCACCAUCUACUUCUUCUGGCAAUAUUGGUGUCAAUAGCGGUCCACCGAACCAGCAGACACAAUCACCUCAGCAGCAACAACAGCAGCAGCAACAGCAACAACAACAGCAAUACGGAAACCAACAGCCGCCAGUUUCCAGUGGACCACCACAGCCACAUGGAUCUACUCCACAACAACAGCCUGUAUAUUCGUCAGCAGGGGCGCCCGGUGGUGGUCCUUCACCUUACGGCGCGCCAUCACAACAGCAGCAGCAGCAACAACAGCCGCCUGGACCGAAUGGACCGCCUCAGGUGCCACCAAACACAACGGCACCACCAAAUGGUACGCCCCAGAUGCCCAAUCAGCAGUACCAACCGCCACCAGCAGGUCAACCGUACGGUGCGCCACCACCACAGCCCUACGGCCCGCCACCACCCAGUGGUGGCUAUCCAGGACAUGGCUACCAUCAACCGCAGGGCGGCUACGGUGGCAUGCCACAAGGGCAAUAUCCACCUUCACAAGGUUAUCAAGGUUAUAGACCCACUGGGGGUCAAAUGCCACCACCAGGCGCCCCUCAAGGUCCGCCAACAAAUGCAUAUUCAUACUACGGAAAUCAACCUCCACAAUAAGUGCUUGCACCACAAAAAAGGUUGAUUCAGACACGCGUCAACUGUUUAAUACUAUCUUCAAAAUUGAUAUAUAUAAUAUAUUAUAUAUAUACAUGUGUUAUAUAUAUCAUAUGUAUGUAUAUCCCUAGAUAAAUAAGACAAAAUAUUGGUAUUAAUUCCGAUCCGUAAUGAAGGGGAUAAAAUAAAAGAACAAAACAAAACAAUCGGCUAAACUUAACGGAAUCUUAGAAGUCUAUACAAUUUUUUCAAUAGUUAAAUUGGCUCUGGUGAACAAAUAUUAACAUUAUACGCGGCAAAAUUAUUUCCAACACACUAAACUCCAGAAUCUUGUACGUCAGGACUAAAAGUUUUCAACGAGAAUGGCGCUACUUCUGAGGUGUUUAUGCAUAAUAAAAUACAUUUGUAUAACGGUAUACCAUACAUUCAGUUAGCGUAAGCCGACGGAGAUGUAAUUCAGUUGUAUGAUUUAAAAGAAAAGUUAAAAAAAA